AGUGAACGCUGGCGGUAGGCCUAACACAUGCAAGUCGAACGGCAGCACAGUAAGAGCUUGCUCUUACGGGUGGCGAGUGGCGGACGGGUGAGGAAUACAUCGGAAUCUACUUUUUCGUGGGGGAUAACGUAGGGAAACUUACGCUAAUACCGCAUACUACCUACGGGUGGAAGCAGGGGAUCUUCGGACCUUGCGCGAUUGAAUGAGCCGAUGUCGGAUUAGCUAGUUGGCGGGGUAAAGGCCCACCAAGGCGACGAUCCGUAGCUGGUCUGAGAGGAUGAUCAGCCACACUGGAACUGAGACACGGUCCAGACUCCUACGGGAGGCAGCAGCGGGGAAUAUUGGACAAUGGGCGCAAGCCUGAUCCAGCCAUACCGCGUGGGUGAAGAAGGCCUUCGGGUUGUAAAGCCCUUUUGUUGGGAAAGAAAAGCAGCAGGUUAAUACCCCGCUGUUCUGACGGUACCCAAAGAAUAAGCACCGGCUAACUUCGUG
RNAcentral lists this ribosomal RNA (492 nucleotides) under uncultured bacterium. RNAcentral describes it as "partial 16S ribosomal RNA". It matches the Rfam family "Bacterial small subunit ribosomal RNA", at positions 29 to 507 of the family's 1533-position model. The record is from RNAcentral.